Molecule: RNA transcript, 1391 nt
Organism: Raphanus sativus (radish)
Lineage: Eukaryota; Viridiplantae; Streptophyta; Magnoliopsida; Brassicales; Brassicaceae
Gene name: thioredoxin-like fold domain-containing protein MRL7L, chloroplastic
Exons: 6
Source: RefSeq, a predicted model, not a curated record
UUUUUAAUAAGAUAACUAUUAAGAAUGAAAAAAAAGGAUGAUGAUGAUGAUGAUGAUGAAGAUGAUGAUAGGGAGAAGGAGAUUGUUUGGCAAGAUGAUAACUACAUACGACCGAUUAAAGACCUCACUACUGCGGAGUGGGAGGAGGCAGUGUUCAAAGAUAUCAGUCCUCUCAUGGUUCUUGUUCACAACCGCUACAAAAGGCCAAAGGAAAAUGAAAAAUUCAGGGAAGAGCUAGAUAAGGCGAUUCAGGUCAUAUGGAACUGUGGACUUCCUUCACCAAGAUGUGUUGCUGUUGAUGCUGUGGUUGAGACAGAUCUGGUCUCUGCUCUGCAAGUUACUGUGUUCCCAGAGAUCAUCUUCACUAAAGCUGGAAAGAUAUUAUACCGUGAGAAAGGCAUUAGGACAGCAGAUGAGCUCUCAAAGAUCAUGGCCUUCUUCUAUUAUGGAGCUGCAAAGCCACCUUGUUUGAAUGGUGUUGACUAUUCCCAUGAACAGAUUCCUUCAGUCGAUCUAACGUGGUAAGUUAUAUGAGUCACAGAAGCAGAGACUUCACGUCCUUAAACACUUACCAUAAUCAUCUUUCCCUCUCUUGCGACUGUGCUCUCCUCUCCAAACCCACCAGCAUGAUAAAGAAUCUACAAGAGUGGACUUCCACUUGUAUGACAAAUAAUCUAGAAGGUUCAACUCGUUACCAGACAAUUACUCACCGCGGUUGAAGCACCGGAAGGGGUUGAAGAUGAUUCCUGUUAACAUCACACUGUACGUGGAUAUUAGGAGGCAGUUGAAAUGUGAAGCCAUCUAAAGAAAUGCAUCCCACCCAGUAGAUUCAGUGUAAAGAGAAGUCUCUCCUUCAAGAUUCUGCUUAGACUAACUCUCUCAGCUCUUCACCAUCUCCAUCACAACUACCUCGAAUCAACUCUUUAACCUUGGCUAAGUUCCCAGUUGUAGCUGCGAUAUGAAGAGGCGAGUCUCCUCUUUUUCCCUGGUGACUCAUUCUUCUUCCUCCUGUCACCAAUGAAACUCAUCUGCCUCUCCAUCACACACGGAAGCUCUUCUACGGAUGAUCUUCUGCCUCUCCAUUGUUGCUCUACCAAAACUAGGAAGCUUCUCCAGAACUCCACCUCGAAAACUCUGCUGCUUCUUCAUUGAUCUUCUGAGUCUGCUUGGGUGAUGAUUCUAAACAUUCACAACACUUGGAAAUUGACUUGCUUCUCUAUAGCUCAUCUGGCCUUUCUCGGCUAAUGAUUCUGAAAACUCAGUUGCUUCUCCAUUGAUUUGGUCUGAUGAUUCUCUUGUGUUUGGUUUGUGAUACCAGUAAAUCUCUGCGGUUCUCCGCAACAUGACUACUCGGCUACUCCUCCAUCAUAUUCAUACUACUGUAUUACUCC